GUGCCAGCAGCCGCGGUAAUACGUAGGUGGCAAGCGUUGUCCGGAAUUAUUGGGCGUAAAGCGCGCGCAGGCGGUCCCUUAAGUCUGAUGUGAAAGCCCACGGCUCAACCGUGGAGGGUCAUUGGAAACUGGGGGACUUGAGUGCAGAAGAGGAAAGUGGAAUUCCAUGUGUAGCGGUGAAAUGCGUAGAGAUGUGGAGGAACACCAGUGGCGAAGGCGACUUUCUGGUCUGUAACUGACGCUGAGGCGCGAAAGCGUGGGGAGCAAACAGGAUUAGAUACCCUGGUAGUCCACGCCGUAAACGAUGAGUGCUAAGUGUUAGGGGGUUUCCGCCCCUUAGUGCUGCAGCUAACGCAUUAAGCACUCCGCCUGGGGAGUACGGCCGCAAGGCUGAAACUCAAAGGAAUUGACGG
This 413-nucleotide ribosomal RNA is filed under the name Planomicrobium sp. RNAcentral describes it as "bacterial SSU rRNA". It matches the Rfam family "Bacterial small subunit ribosomal RNA", at positions 505 to 916 of the family's 1533-position model. Lineage: Bacteria; Bacillati; Bacillota; Bacilli; Caryophanales; Caryophanaceae. The record is from RNAcentral.